CAUGUUUCCAUUUUGGUUUACAUUAUUGUUUUUCAACUGGUUUGAAAUAUAAUGUUCCAUGCUCAUCUUGUAAAUUUCCUUCCUGGGCCUGCAGGAAGAGAGCUAGCAGUCAAUGCUUCCCUCAGCGGCUCUGCUUCAGCCUCUAAUGACAUCAAGGUAUUCAUGGAGAGGUCCCUGCCAGCUGGAGAGCAAGCAGCUUUCAGUCCUGACCAUCUCUCUUCAGCAAGAGCCUGUCUGGAGCGGCCACAGUAUCAUAUCUGCCCAGCCAGAAGCAAUCCUUGUGCCUCUAGCCUGAUGAUGGCACCAACUCUGAUACGCUCCACCAGACUGUGUAACUAUCUGCCUUGGAUUUUCACCGUGUGUGGAAAGACCUUUUUUGACAUGAAAUCGAACCCCGGACCUCCCACAGGACCUCCCACACGAAAGGCGGAGUAUUCCAUGGCCUGAGCCGCAUCUGCUCUCCUGUCAGGGUUUUUAAAAUCCCAGUUCUGCUGUUUCUUUAUCUGCACUCUGAAACAUAUCAC
This 524-nucleotide long non-coding RNA is filed under the name Dasypus novemcinctus (nine-banded armadillo). Its description in RNAcentral is "lncRNA (ENSDNOG00000052720.1)". Lineage: Eukaryota; Metazoa; Chordata; Mammalia; Cingulata; Dasypodidae. The record is from RNAcentral.